This 791-nucleotide ribosomal RNA is filed under the name uncultured bacterium. Its description in RNAcentral is "bacterial SSU rRNA". It matches the Rfam family "Bacterial small subunit ribosomal RNA", at positions 8 to 796 of the family's 1533-position model. The record is from RNAcentral.
AGAGUUUGAUCAUGGCUCAGAUUGAACGCUGGCGGCAUGCCUUACACAUGCAAGUCGAACGGUAACAGGGAGCUUGCUCCGCUGACGAGUGGCGAACGGGUGAGUAAUAUAUCGGAACGUACCUUUGAGUGGGGGAUAACUAGUCGAAAGAUUAGCUAAUACCGCAUACGAUCUACGGAUGAAAGUGGGGGCUCGCAAGACCUCAUGCUCAUAGAGCGGCCGAUAUCUGAUUAGCUAGUUGGUGAGGUAAAGGCUCACCAAGGCAUCGAUCAGUAGCUGGUCUGAGAGGACGACCAGCCACACUGGGACUGAGACACGGCCCAGACUCCUACGGGAGGCAGCAGUGGGGAAUUUUGGACAAUGGGGGCAACCCUGAUCCAGCAAUGCCGCGUGAGUGAAGAAGGCCUUCGGGUUGUAAAGCUCUUUUGUCAGGGAAGAAACGGUGAGGGCUAAUAUCCCUUGCUAAUGACGGUACCUGAAGAAUAAGCACCGGCUAACUACGUGCCAGCAGCCGCGGUAAUACGUAGGGUGCAAGCGUUAAUCGGAAUUACUGGGCGUAAAGCGUGCGCAGGCGGUUGUGUAAGACAGGUGUGAAAUCCCCGGGCUUAACCUGGGAAUGGCAUUUGUGACUGCACGGCUAGAGUGUGUCAGAGGGGGGUAGAAUUCCACGUAGCAGUGAAAUGCGUAGAGAUGUGGAGGAAUACCGAUGGCGAAGGCAGCCCCCUGGGAUAACACUGACGCUCAUGCACGAAAGCGUGGGGAGCAAACAGGAUUAGAUACCCUAGUAGUCC